RNAcentral lists this ribosomal RNA (253 nucleotides) under uncultured bacterium. RNAcentral describes it as "partial 16S ribosomal RNA". It matches the Rfam family "Bacterial small subunit ribosomal RNA", at positions 524 to 776 of the family's 1533-position model. The record is from RNAcentral.
UACAGAGGGGGCAAGCGUUAUUCGGAAUUAUUGGGCGUAAAGGGCGCGUAGGCGGCUUUGCAAGUGGCGGGUGAAAUCCCUCGGCUUAACCGAGGAACUGCCUGUCAAACUGCAUGGCUUGAGACCGGGAGAGGUGAGUGGAAUUCCCAGUGUAGCGGUGAAAUGCGUAGAUAUUGGGAGGAACACCAGUGGCGAAGGCGGCUCACUGGACCGGUUCUGACGCUGAGGCGCGAAAGCGUGGGGAGCAAACAGG